Long non-coding RNA from Carassius gibelio (silver crucian carp), 1072 nucleotides. RefSeq lists it as uncharacterized. Lineage: Eukaryota; Metazoa; Chordata; Actinopteri; Cypriniformes; Cyprinidae. The record is from RefSeq and is a predicted model, not a curated record. The transcript has 5 exons.
UAUAAUCUAUUGUUCUGUCCAUGGACAUAUUGUUAUUAUUGUUGUUAUAUGCUGGUGUAAAUGUGUGUGCGUAGCUGUGUGCUAAUAGCUAAUAGUGCUUCUGUUACUUCUUUUGCUUUGUUGGAAAGCUAAAGAUAAUUAGCAGGUAAGUUAGUGCUGCCUCCUAAGUGAGUUUCAGAAGAAGAGCCAGUGCUAGUGUCACGGGCCGAGCCAGGGCUGCGGCAGCACUCCCUGUCGGCUGACACCCCCAAUUCCACCCUUCUUGAGGAGCUACCCCGUACCAGAGAAAAAGGCAGAACACCAGAAUUCAAGUAAGGUGAAUACAGCCCGAGCAGCUACGGCACCAGAUGGCGAAGGCUUGGUAGUAACUCUGUUUUUCAAGUCCUCUGACUGGGUAUCAUCAGUGACUGUCUCUGUUCAGUGGCUCGUUUUUCACAAGUUCAUCAAACAACUGUGGUAAGAAUACUUCAUCAAGCACGGUCACCGUGGCCACCAGAUCCAGUCUGUAUCCAGACCAGAGGGUCACUGCAGUCACCCGGAUCCAGUACGUAUCCAGACCAGAUGGUGGAUCAGCACCUAGAAAGGACCUCUACUGCCCUGAAAGACAGCAGAGACCAGGACAACUAGAGCCCAGAUACAGAUCCCCUGUAAAGACCGUGUCUCAGAGGACCACCAGGACAAGACUACAGGAAACAGAUGAUUCUUCUGCACAAUCUGACUUUGCUGCAGUCUGGAAUUGAACUACUGGUUUCGUCUGGUCAGAGGAGAACUGACCCCCAACUGAGCCUGGUUUCUCCCAAGGUUUUUUUCUCCAUUCUGUCACCGAUGGAGUUUUGGUUCCUUGCCGCUGUCGCCUCUGGCUUGCUUAGUUGUGGUCACUUCAUCUACAGCGAUAUCAUUGACUUAAUUGCAAAUAAAUGCACAGACACUAUUUAACUGAACAGAGAUGACAUCACUGAAUUCAAUGAUGAACUGCCUUUAACUAUCAUUUUGCAUUAUUGACACACUCUUUUCCUAAUGAAUGUUGUUCAGUUGCUUUGACGCAAUGUAUUUUGUUUAAAGCACUAUAUAA